GGAGAGGUCGCAUAGUGGCUUAGUGCACCGGUCUCGAAAAUCGGAGUGCCUUAACGGGUACCGUGGGUUCAAAUCCCACCCUCUCCGCCA
RNAcentral lists this transfer RNA (90 nucleotides) under Acidobacteriota bacterium. RNAcentral's name for it is "Acidobacteria bacterium (soil metagenome) tRNA-Ser". It matches the Rfam family "tRNA". From Rfam's summary of the family: Transfer RNA (tRNA) molecules are approximately 80 nucleotides in length. Lineage: Bacteria; Pseudomonadati; Acidobacteriota. The record is from RNAcentral. RNAcentral also lists the same sequence under 1 other name.